RNAcentral lists this transfer RNA (76 nucleotides) under Chloroflexota bacterium. Its description in RNAcentral is "Chloroflexi bacterium tRNA-Leu". It matches the Rfam family "tRNA". From Rfam's summary of the family: Transfer RNA (tRNA) molecules are approximately 80 nucleotides in length. Their secondary structure includes four short double-helical elements and three loops (D, anti-codon, and T loops). Further hydrogen bonds mediate the characteristic L-shaped molecular structure. tRNAs have two regions of fundamental functional importance: the anti-codon, which is responsible for specific mRNA codon recognition, and the 3' end, to which the tRNAs corresponding amino acid is attached (by aminoacyl-tRNA synthetases). tRNAs cope with the degeneracy of the genetic code in two manners: having more than one tRNA (with a specific anti-codon) for a particular amino acid; and 'wobble' base-pairing, i.e. permitting non-standard base-pairing at the 3rd anti-codon position. Lineage: Bacteria; Bacillati; Chloroflexota. RNAcentral also lists the same sequence under 1 other name. The record is from RNAcentral.
GCCCCCGUGGCCCAAUCCGGCAGAGGCAGCCGACUUAAAAUCGGCCCAGGUGUGGGUUCGACUCCCACCGGGGGCA